AUAUCGCGCCGGGCAUGAACGGAUAACUCUGAUGAUGUUAAUCACGAGAGUCUCACUCUCCGAUAUCA
RNAcentral lists this transfer RNA (68 nucleotides) under Oasisia sp. n. MM-2023. Its description in RNAcentral is "tRNA-Ile". The record is from RNAcentral. Lineage: Eukaryota; Metazoa; Annelida; Polychaeta; Sabellida; Siboglinidae.